GUGAAUGCCUUGGCUCUCAGAGGCGAAGAAGGACGUGAUAAGCUGCGAUAAGCUACGAUGAGGUGCAAAUAACCCGUGAGUCGUAGAUUUCCGAAUGGGGCAACCCAACUGAUAGAAGAUCAGUUAUCCUGUAAAGGAAGCAAACCCGGAGAACUGAAACAUCUAAGUACCCGCAGGAAAAGAAAUCAACCGAGAUCCCCUGAGUAGCGGCGAGCGAAAGGGGGUUAGCCCAAAAGUUUGUUAUGUGCUAGUGGAACAUUCUGGAAAGUUUGACAAUAGAGGGUGAUAGUCCCGUACACGAAAGCGCAUAGUGAAUGAAUCUGAGUAGGUCGGGACACGUGAUAUCCUGAUUGAAUAUGGGGGGACCAUCCUCCAAGGCUAAAUACUCCUGACUGACCGAUAGUGAACCAGUACCGUGAGGGAAAGGCGAAAAGAACCCCUGUGAGGGGAGUGAAAUAGAACCUGAAACCGUAUGCAUACAAGCAGUGGGAGCAUGAUUUAGUCAUGUGACUGCGUACCUUUUGUAUAAUGGGUCAGCGACUUAUGUUCAGUGGCGAGGUUAACCGUUUAGGGGAGCCGUAGGGAAACCGAGUCUGAAUAGGGCGAUUUAGUCGCUGGGCAUAGACCCGAAACCGGGCGAUCUAUCCAUGAGCAGGUUGAAGGUUGAGUAAUAUCAACUGGAGGACCGAACCCA
RNAcentral lists this ribosomal RNA (694 nucleotides) under Scyphosphaera apsteinii. Its description in RNAcentral is "partial Bacterial large subunit ribosomal RNA". It matches the Rfam family "Bacterial large subunit ribosomal RNA", at positions 24 to 782 of the family's 2925-position model. Lineage: Eukaryota; Haptophyta; Coccosphaerales; Pontosphaeraceae. The record is from RNAcentral.